GAACUACGGACGAGUCCCUAACAGGACGAAACAGCUGUCCAGUGC
Non-coding RNA from Echinostoma caproni, 45 nucleotides. Lineage: Eukaryota; Metazoa; Platyhelminthes; Trematoda; Plagiorchiida; Echinostomatidae. The record is from Rfam.